This 513-nucleotide ribosomal RNA is filed under the name uncultured bacterium. RNAcentral's name for it is "partial 16S ribosomal RNA". It matches the Rfam family "Bacterial small subunit ribosomal RNA", at positions 28 to 523 of the family's 1533-position model. The record is from RNAcentral.
GACGAACGCUGGCGGCAUGCCUAAUACAUGCAAGUCGAGCGAACAGAUGAAGUGCUUGCACUUCUGACGUUAGCGGCGAACGGGUGAGUAACACGUAAGGAAUCUACCUAUAAGCGGGGGAUAACAUUCGGAAACGGGUGCUAAUACCGCAUAAUAUCUUCUUCCGCAUGGAAGAAGAUUGAAAGACGGCUCUGCUGUCACUUAUAGAUGACCUUGCGGUGCAUUAGUUAGUUGGUGGGGUAACGGCCUACCAAGACGAUGAUGCAUAGCCGACCUGAGAGGGUGAUCGGCCACAUGGGGACUGAGACACGGCCCAAACUCCUACGGGAGGCAGCAGUAGGGAAUCUGCCGCAAUGGGCGAAAGCCUGACGGAGCAAUGCAGCGUGAGUGAAGAAGGCCUUCGGGUCGUAAAACUCUGUUAUAAGAGAAGAACAAAUUGUAGAGUAACUGCUACAGUCUUAACGGUAUCUUAUCAGAAAGCCACGGCUAACUACGUGCCAGCAGCCGCCGUAA